Molecule: ribosomal RNA, 430 nt
Filed under: Babesia bigemina
Lineage: Eukaryota; Apicomplexa; Aconoidasida; Piroplasmida; Babesiidae
Description: SSU rRNA
Rfam family: Eukaryotic small subunit ribosomal RNA
Source: RNAcentral
CAGGGCUUUCGUCUUGUAAUUGGAAUGAUGGUGAUGUACAACCUCACCAGAGUACCAAUUGGAGGGCAAGUCUGGUGCCAGCAGCCGCGGUAAUUCCAGCUCCAAUAGCGUAUAUUAAACUUGUUGCAGUUAAAAAGCUCGUAGUUGUAUUUCAGCCUCGCGUUUUUUCCCUCGUUUUGGGUCUUUUCGCUGGCUUUGUUUUUACUUUGAGAAAAUUAGAGUGUUUCAAGCAGACUUUUGUCUUGAAUACUUCAGCAUGGAAUAAUAGAGUAGGACCUUGGUUCUAUUUUGUUGGUUUUGAGCCUUGGUAAUGGUUAAUAGGAACGGUUGGGGGCAUUCGUAUUUAACUGUCAGAGGUGAAAUUCUUAGAUUUGUUAAAGACGAACCACUGCGAAAGCAUUUGCCAAGGACGUUUUCAUUAAUCAAGAAC